UGGGGAAUAUUGGACAAUGGGCGAAAGCCUGAUCCAGCCAUGCCGCGUGUGUGAAGAAGGCCUUCGGGUUGUAAAGCUCUUUUACCAGGGACGAUAAUGACGGUACCUGGAGAAUAAGCCCCGGCAAACUUCGUGCCAGCAGCCGCGGUAAUACGAAGGGGGCUAGCGUUGUUCGGAAUUACUGGGCGUAAAGCGUACGUAGGCGGUGACUCAAGUCAGAGGUGAAAGCCUGGAGCUCAACUCCAGAACUGCCUUUGAAACUAGGUCGCUAGAAUCACGGAGAGGUGAGUGGAAUUCCGAGUGUAGAGGUGAAAUUCGUAGAUAUUCGGAAGAACACCAGUGGCGAAGGCGGCUCACUGGACGUGUAUUGACGCUGAGGUACGAAAGCGUGGGGAGCAAACAGGAUUAGAUACCCAAGUAGUCCCUGAGCGGGCUGGCAAGGCGCAU
RNAcentral lists this ribosomal RNA (447 nucleotides) under uncultured bacterium. RNAcentral describes it as "bacterial SSU rRNA". It matches the Rfam family "Bacterial small subunit ribosomal RNA", at positions 355 to 825 of the family's 1533-position model. The record is from RNAcentral.